ACAUCUCAACUCUCAUGGCUUGCCAUGAUGAGCUUGGACUUUGGGGGUCUUGCUGGCCUGUGAGCCAGCUCCUCUCAAAUAAAUUAGCUUGCCAGUGUUUGGUGGCAUCACAGGUGUGAUAACUAUCUACGCUUGUGGUUUCCCACCAGAUAACUUCCAGCAAUGGAGGUUCGCUGGGGCUCAUAAAUGUCUCUCCUUGGCGAGGACAGAUUUCGACC
This 218-nucleotide unclassified non-coding RNA is filed under the name uncultured Thelephoraceae. RNAcentral describes it as "sequence contains ITS2". The record is from RNAcentral. Lineage: Eukaryota; Fungi; Basidiomycota; Agaricomycetes; Thelephorales; Thelephoraceae.